This 501-nucleotide ribosomal RNA is filed under the name uncultured bacterium. Its description in RNAcentral is "partial 16S ribosomal RNA". It matches the Rfam family "Bacterial small subunit ribosomal RNA", at positions 28 to 506 of the family's 1533-position model. The record is from RNAcentral.
GACGAACGCUGGCGGCGUGCUUAACACAUGCAAGUCGAACGGUGAAGGGGUCUGCUUUUGUGGGCCCUGGAUGAGUGGCGAACGGGUGAGUAACACGUGAGUAACCUGCCCCCUUCUUCUGGAUAACCGCAUGAAAGUGUGGCUAAAACGGGAUAUUCUGGGUCUGUCGCAUGAUGGGUCUGGGAAAGAUUGCGCCUUUGGGUGUUUUUGGUGGGGGAUGGGCUCGCGGCCUAUCAGCUUGUUGGUGGGGUGAUGGCCUACCAAGGCGGUGACGGGUAGCCGGCCUGAGAGGGUGGACGGUCACACUGGGACUGAGACACGGCCCAGACUCGUACGGGAGGCAGCAGUGGGGAAGAUUGCACAAUGGGCGCAAGCCUGAUGCAGCGACGCCGCGUGAGGGAUGGAGGCCUUCGGGUUGUAAACCUCUUUCGCCAGUGAAGCAGGCCUGCUCCUUGUGGGUGGGUUGACGGUAGCUGGAUAAGAAGCGCCGGCUAACUACGU